GGAGGGCUGUGGUUCAGUGGGAGAGCAUUUUCUUGGCAUUCAGAAGGUCUAGGGUUCAAUUCCUGGCAUCUCCA
This 74-nucleotide transfer RNA is filed under the name Sphaerodactylus townsendi. RNAcentral describes it as "tRNA-Ala". The record is from RNAcentral. Lineage: Eukaryota; Metazoa; Chordata; Lepidosauria; Squamata; Sphaerodactylidae.